Molecule: long non-coding RNA, 946 nt
Filed under: Arachis ipaensis
Lineage: Eukaryota; Viridiplantae; Streptophyta; Magnoliopsida; Fabales; Fabaceae
Description: long non-coding RNA (AIPA_LNC001559)
Source: RNAcentral
GAGUAAUAUAUUAUAAAUUUAUGAUUACAAGCCAAAAAGAAAGAGAGACAUAUGGCUAGAAACAACUUAAUAAUAACAAUGUGGAUUAUUGGAUCAGUUAUGUAUGUUGCAACUGCUGAAGUCUAUGGCAACAUUCCUAAACAAUCACGGAUUCCAUCAUAUUAUGUUGCAUCAGUGGAACGACAACAAUGUAUUCAAGAUUGUAAAAUGCACAUACCGGAACCAAUAAUUUUGGCAUUGUGCAUUAGUUUAUGUGAAAAGAUGAAUCCACAUGACUAGUGCUUGGGUAGUGGUAAGCAUCUAAGUUAUAAUGAAUGCUUUUGGGAUUUUGUGAAAUUUUUUGGCUUAUAUUAUCUCAUGAAUAUUUGAUGUGACAAACUCUUCUUUAUUUUAUGAUUAUCGAAAGACCAAUAAAAAAGAGUAUAGUUUCGUAUUAUUAUUAGUGCGGAUGAUUUUAAUGCGGAUCAGAUCAAGAUUUUAGUCAUAUUAAUCUGAAUUGAUCCGUGAACUCUCUUAAGUGAUAUCUUUACAGAUCUUGAUGACAUCAUUGACCUUAGCAACUAAUGUAAGUCUAAAACAAGUGAUUUUAGUUAUUCAAGUGAUGCUACUCAUUUGGAUGAAGCAAAUUUAUCUUAGAAGAAUGUUAAUUAAAAAUCUAUUAUUUUAGAUUUGUUUUUUCUUCUUCUUUGUUAGCUUUUUUUUCUUUGGUUGUAGUUUUCAAUUUUUUUGAAACUUUUGUAUUUUUUUUAUUAAUGGUAAUUUUUUAUUUUCGUAAUAAAGAUAUGGAUAUUUUUCACGCUUCGUUCAAAUUCAACAAUGAAGAAGUAUGUCUCGCUGACAAUGCUUCAACGCAUACAAUACUUAGAGAUAAAAGAUAUUUUUCUCUCUUAUUAUAAAGAAAACAAAUAUAUGUAUGAUUGUUGGUAGUGCAAAAAUGAUUGAAGGC